GCGUUAAUCGGAAUUACUGGGCGUAAAGCGUGCGCAGGCGGUGAGCUGUGUCCGAUGUGAAAGCCCCGGGCUUAACCUGGGAAUGGCAUUGGAAACUGGCUCGCUGGAGUGUGGCAGAGGGGGGUGGAAUUCCGCGUGUAGCAGUGAAAUGCGUAGAGAUGCGGAGGAACACCGAUGGCGAAGGCAGCCCCCUGGGCUAACACUGACGCUCAGGCACGAAAGCGUGGGGAGCAAACAGG
RNAcentral lists this ribosomal RNA (239 nucleotides) under uncultured bacterium. Its description in RNAcentral is "partial 16S ribosomal RNA". It matches the Rfam family "Bacterial small subunit ribosomal RNA", at positions 538 to 776 of the family's 1533-position model. The record is from RNAcentral.